This 468-nucleotide ribosomal RNA is filed under the name uncultured bacterium. RNAcentral's name for it is "bacterial SSU rRNA". It matches the Rfam family "Bacterial small subunit ribosomal RNA", at positions 328 to 794 of the family's 1533-position model. The record is from RNAcentral.
GGGCCAGACUCCUACGGGAGGCAGCAGUGAGGAAUAUUGGUCAAUGGACGCAAGUCUGAACCAGCCAUGCCGCGUGCAGGAAGACGGCUCUAUGAGUUGUAAACUGCUUUUGUACGAGGGUAAACGCAGAUACGUGUAUCUGUCUGAAAGUAUCGUACGAAUAAGGAUCGGCUAACUCCGUGCCAGCAGCCGCGGUAAUACGGAGGAUUCAAGCGUUAUCCGGAUUUAUUGGGUUUAAAGGGUGCGUAGGCGGCCCGGAAAGUCAGGGGAAAACGCCCGGGGCUCAACCCCGGCGAGCCGUUGAAACUGUCGGACUAGAGACGGCGAGAAGUACGCGGAAUGCGCGGUGUAGCGGUGAAAUGCAUAGAUAUCGCGCAGAACUCCGAUUGCGAAGGCAGCGUACCGGCGCCGGACUGACGCUGAGGCACGAAAGCGUGGGUAUCGAACAGGAUUAGAUACCCCAGUACU